This 301-nucleotide ribosomal RNA is filed under the name uncultured bacterium. RNAcentral describes it as "partial 16S ribosomal RNA". It matches the Rfam family "Bacterial small subunit ribosomal RNA", at positions 509 to 809 of the family's 1533-position model. The record is from RNAcentral.
CAGUAGCCGCGGUAAUACGUAGGGUGCAAGCGUUAAUCGGAAUUACUGGGCGUAAAGCGUGCGCAGGCGGUUUGUUAAGACAGAUGUGAAAUCCCCGGGCUCAACCUGGGAACUGCAUUUGUGACUGGCAAGCUAGAGUGUGGCAGAGGGGGGUGGAAUUCCGCGUGUAGCAGUGAAAUGCGUAGAUAUGCGGAGGAACACCGAUGGCGAAGGCAGCCCCCUGGGCCAACACUGACGCUCAUGCACGAAAGCGUGGGGAGCAAACAGGAUUAGAUACCCCCGUAGUCCCUGUCUCUUAUAU